Calidris pugnax (ruff) is the source of this 383-nucleotide long non-coding RNA. RefSeq lists it as uncharacterized. The record is from RefSeq and is a predicted model, not a curated record. NCBI's taxonomy places the organism in Eukaryota, Metazoa, Chordata, Aves, Charadriiformes, Scolopacidae. The transcript is spliced from 3 exons.
GGCUAUUUUUGCAGUGAGAGUUGCAAGAAAGAAGUCACACGUGAAACCUGAAUGUUAGUCUAAUCUCAAAGGAGAAGAAUCAACCUCCUCUGUUUAAGGAUAAGAAGAGGUAUGAAAGCAGCAUAUCAAUGUCUGUCUGAAAUACAAUCCCUCCUAAGAAACAAGAAGUGAGCAGAGAAUAUGCAGGCAUCCUUGUUUCAAUAGAGGCCUGGUGAGGACCUGGGUGUUUGUUAGGUGGAGAUUGCACAAGCCAUGAGACUCUUGCAUGACAUGAAACAUCCCUUUGGAAUUGGAAUUUUCUGAGGACCCCCGACUCCAGGCGUGUGCCCCACAGCCCCCUCCCGCUCAGCACCAUGCGGCCAGCAAUAACUGGGCUCGUUAGG